This 468-nucleotide ribosomal RNA is filed under the name uncultured bacterium. RNAcentral's name for it is "partial 16S ribosomal RNA". It matches the Rfam family "Bacterial small subunit ribosomal RNA", at positions 28 to 507 of the family's 1533-position model. The record is from RNAcentral.
GACGAACGCUGGCGGCGUGCUUAACACAUGCAAGUCGAACGGAAAGGCCCUGCUUUUGUGGGGUGCUCGAGUGGCGAACGGGUGAGUAACACGUGAGUAACCUGCCCUUGACUUUGGGAUAACUUCAGGAAACUGGGGCUAAUACCGGAUAGGAGCUCCUGCUGCAUGGUGGGGGUUGGAAAGUUUCGGCGGUUGGGGUUGGACUGGCGGCUUAUCAGCUUGUCGGUGGGGUAGUGGCUUACCAAGGCUUUGACGGGUAGCCGGCCUGAGAGGGUGACCGGAGACAUGGGGAAUGAGAUACGGCGAAGAAGCAUACGGGAGGCAGCAGGGGGGAGUAGUGCACAAAGGGAGGAAGCCUGAGGCGGAAACGCCGCGUGCGGGAUGACGGGCUUCGGGUGGUAAACCGCUUUCGACGGGGACGAAGCGUGAGUGACGGUAAUGGGUAAAGAAGCACCGGCUAACUACGUG